Molecule: long non-coding RNA, 838 nt
Organism: Xenia sp. Carnegie-2017
Lineage: Eukaryota; Metazoa; Cnidaria; Anthozoa; Malacalcyonacea; Xeniidae
Exons: 2
Source: RefSeq, a predicted model, not a curated record
ACAUUGCACCCAUUUCAGCUUUAUCAUCAUUCAUGACUCGAGAGAGAUAUAGAUUCAUAAUUGCUCAGUGGGACGUUUGAGAUAUUUACCCGACGACGUCAGAGUAUGAACACUUAGAGUUUUAAUCAUUACUUAAAAUAUUUAGUUAAAAUAUUUGCUUUAGUUAUGAAUGAAAAAUCAAGAAAUUGCAACUCCUUGAAAUUAUAGAUGCGGAUUUGGAAUCAAUUGUUGAGCGUAUUCUUUCCGUUUUGCGCGAUAAUCGCUAUGGGAACAUAUCGUAAUUUGUUAUAAUUAGAUUGUUUAAAACGAUCUAUCAAGUAAAACAGUCUUUCAAUUUAUUACAAAAACAGCUAGAAAUCUGCAUAAUACGGACAGUUAUAAAGCACAAGACUCGAGAUGCUGGCAUCAGAAAGUGUAAAUGUUUCUUACAAGAAGGUUAAGAAGAAGAAAAUAAAAUGAAGUUGGUUAUUUUGUGUGCACUUUUGGCCGUAAUGGUUGUCUUGCCACAAUCAGCCUACAGUGAUGAUGAAAGUGAAGCGAUUGGUAUCACCGACCCUGCGUUUCAUAAGGAUCAGAAGAAUAGGAAAAACAAUGCAAGAAAACGUUACCGUGUGCGUUUAGAUUCUCUAGCUCGUUCUUAUCCUCGUUUUCGUGCUAAGUUCAAUCCUCGUAUGGAAACGUAGGUAUCGUGGAGGCGCUGGGGUUAGCUGGAUGCUAAUUCCUUAUUCAAGAAGUGACAGUAACAAUGUAGCUAUGUAUGUCGUCGUUGACAAUUCUUUUUACUGUAAUAGCGUAAGUCUGUAGAAAAUAAAACAAAAUUCUGUUUUCGUCACUGAAA